CGGUGGAUGAUGUGGUUUAAUUCGAUGCAACGACGAAAACCUUACCCACCUUUGACAUGGCAGGAAUCCCGAAGAGAUUGGGAGUGCUCGAAAGAGAACCUGCACACAGGUGCUGCAUGGCUGUCGUCAGCUCGUGUCGUGAGAUGUUGGGUUAAGUCCCGCAACGAGCGCAACCCUUGCCAUUAGUUGCUACGAAAGGGCACUCUAAUGGGACUGCCGGUGACAAACCGGAGGAAGGUGGGGAUGACGUCAAGUCCUCAUGGCCCUUAUAGGUGGGGCUACACACGUCAUACAAUGGCCGGUACAGAGGGUAGCCAACCCGCGAGGGGGAGCCAAUCCCACAAAGCCGGUCGUAGUCCGGAUCGCAGUCUGCAACUCGACUGCGUGAAGUCGGAAUCGCUAGUAAUCGCGGAUCAGCAUGUCGCGGUGAAUACGUUCCCGGGUCUU
Molecule: ribosomal RNA, 447 nt
Filed under: uncultured Allobrachymonas sp.
Lineage: Bacteria; Pseudomonadati; Pseudomonadota; Betaproteobacteria; Burkholderiales; Comamonadaceae
Description: bacterial SSU rRNA
Rfam family: Bacterial small subunit ribosomal RNA
Source: RNAcentral